AGACAGGUGGUCUAGAUUGGUAUGAUUCUUGCUUGGGGUGCAAGCGGUCGCGGGUUCAAUUCCCGCCCUGUCUA
This 74-nucleotide transfer RNA is filed under the name Candidatus Bathyarchaeota archaeon. RNAcentral describes it as "tRNA-Pro". It matches the Rfam family "tRNA". Rfam says of the family: Transfer RNA (tRNA) molecules are approximately 80 nucleotides in length. Their secondary structure includes four short double-helical elements and three loops (D, anti-codon, and T loops). Further hydrogen bonds mediate the characteristic L-shaped molecular structure. tRNAs have two regions of fundamental functional importance: the anti-codon, which is responsible for specific mRNA codon recognition, and the 3' end, to which the tRNAs corresponding amino acid is attached (by aminoacyl-tRNA synthetases). tRNAs cope with the degeneracy of the genetic code in two manners: having more than one tRNA (with a specific anti-codon) for a particular amino acid; and 'wobble' base-pairing, i.e. permitting non-standard base-pairing at the 3rd anti-codon position. The record is from RNAcentral. Lineage: Archaea; Thermoproteati; Candidatus Bathyarchaeota.